GGGGGAAGGAUUCAUUCUGCUCUCUAGGGCAGAAAGAGAAUGGAAGGUCUGAAGGCUUGCAGAAAUAAAUGUGUGACCUGAAAGAACGAAGCAGAGAGGACUCAAGACACUGCAUUUGGGAGCCACCUCUGCUUCCAGAACACUUGUCUCUUCCAAGAGCUGGAUUCAGUAUCAAAAGGAGAAGGUAUGACAUAGCUCCACCUACAUGCAAGGGGAGCCAGGAAGUGCAAUCCCUGGCUGGGCUGCCACGUCUCAGAAACCAUUAAGCCUAUGGAAGGUCUCUGGAUUUGAUGGCAAAUGGCAGCAGAAAUGUGGAAAAGAUCAAAGUGAUGUCAAGGUUGAUCUCUGAGUUUGGCAUGGCUGAACUCAAACAUCAUUUGCCAUGGACCCACAGUGUCUUCAGUAGCUGAGUGUGGUGUCAUUCCCCUAUGAUAUGUGCACUCAAUUGCUGGCCAGUUUUUGUUUUUUGUUUUUGAGAGAGUCUCGCUUUGUCUCCUAGGCUGGAGUGCAGUGGCACGAUCUCGGCUCACUGCAACCUCCGCCUCCCGGGUUCAAGUGAUUUUCCUGCCUCAGCCUCCCGAGUAGCUGAGAUUACAGGCAUGUGCCAGCAGGCCCGGCUAAUUUUUUUUGUAAUUUUAGUAGAGACGGGGUUUUGCCAUGUUGGCCAGGCUGGUCUCGAGCUCCUGGCCUCAAGUGAUCCACCUGCCUCCACCUCCCAAAGUGCUGGGAUUACAGGUGUGAGCCACUGUACCUGGCCCCAAAGUUUUAGAAAUUGGAUCAUUUUAAAUGUUGGAGGGGAGUUCAUUGUUUAGGAUGGCUGUGUGGCAAAUCUUUUUUUAAAGUAAGUAAUUCUCCUCUAUUAUA
Molecule: long non-coding RNA, 864 nt
Filed under: Homo sapiens (human)
Lineage: Eukaryota; Metazoa; Chordata; Mammalia; Primates; Hominidae
Description: HSALNT0302970
Source: RNAcentral